Molecule: ribosomal RNA, 162 nt
Filed under: Eucalyptus indurata
Lineage: Eukaryota; Viridiplantae; Streptophyta; Magnoliopsida; Myrtales; Myrtaceae
Description: 5.8S ribosomal RNA
Rfam family: 5.8S ribosomal RNA
About the family: 5.8S ribosomal RNA (5.8S rRNA) is a component of the large subunit of the eukaryotic ribosome. It is transcribed by RNA polymerase I as part of the 45S precursor that also contains 18S and 28S rRNA. Functionally, it is thought that 5.8S rRNA may be involved in ribosome translocation.
Source: RNAcentral
AUAACGACUCUCGGCAACGGAUAUCUCGGCUCUCGCAUCGAUGAAGAACGUAACGAACUGCGAUACUUGGUGUGAAUUGCAGAAUCCCGUGAACCAUCGAGUCUUUGAACGCAAGUUGCGCCCGAAACCUUUGGUCGAGGGCACGUUUGCCUGGGUGUCACA